RNAcentral lists this small RNA (17 nucleotides) under Arabidopsis thaliana (thale cress). Its description in RNAcentral is "ATSL258850". The record is from RNAcentral. Lineage: Eukaryota; Viridiplantae; Streptophyta; Magnoliopsida; Brassicales; Brassicaceae.
AAUGUUGCAGCUUCUUG